CCUGAGUAACGGCGAGCGAAAAGGGAUGAGCCCAGCGCCGAAUCCUCGGCMWMMGGCCGUGGGAAAUGUGGCGUUUAGGAGUGAGCGUGUGGUGUUCGGCGACCUCGGCAAGUCCCCCUGAACGGGGCCUGUCCGUAGCGGGUGAAAGGCCCAUAACCGUGGUUAGUCGUCACCCGUGCGAUCUCCUUGGAGUCAGGUUGCUUGGGAGUGCAGCCCUAAUCGCGUGGUAAACUCCACGUAAGGSUAAAUACCGCCGUGAGACCGAUAGCAAACAAGUACCGUGAGGGAAAGUUGCAAAGAACUUUGAAGAGAGAGUUCAAKAGUACGUGAAUCUGCUCAGAGGCAAACGGGUGGGCCCUCGAAAUCCUGUGACGAGAGGAUUCAGUCUCUGACGGCAGACGCCUGGGAGGAAAUCUCMGAGUAGAGCUCCCGCSAACGUGGGCCGUCCUCCARGGUGACUUCGACUGCCUAAGACGCAUUUCUCUCUCGUCCUAAGGACGCUGCAGCCGGGUUAGAAGUGCAAGCAUGACGGUCUGGAGGUYGGGAAMCGGCAGGUGGCCGGUGGCGCACCUCGUGUGCUCUGYCGGUUGUUAGCCAUCCCGUCAGUGACCCGUCUCUAACCCGUUGUUUCGKGAKGCCCUUCGGGGCGUCCACGUCUCCGAUCCGAGUCGCAGMACAGGGCUUGGCCAGGAUGCUCUCUUUCGACUGYCGCACUUCAGCGAAGUGGGUUGANNNNNNNNNNUUCUGCAUCGCCGAGACGGAUCUGCGGGAGACUGGAGGCUGGCAGCGAGUAGGUCGGUCACCCACCCGACCCGUCUUGAAACACGGACCAAGGAGUCUAACAUGUGCGCGAGUCAAUGGGUCUUGACUAUGCCCAUGGGCGAAAUGAAAGCAAAGGAC
This 900-nucleotide ribosomal RNA is filed under the name Chalcoscirtus alpicola. RNAcentral's name for it is "partial 28S ribosomal RNA". It matches the Rfam family "Eukaryotic large subunit ribosomal RNA", at positions 78 to 733 of the family's 3401-position model. Lineage: Eukaryota; Metazoa; Arthropoda; Arachnida; Araneae; Salticidae. The record is from RNAcentral.